This 352-nucleotide ribosomal RNA is filed under the name Vibrio parahaemolyticus. Its description in RNAcentral is "bacterial SSU rRNA". It matches the Rfam family "Bacterial small subunit ribosomal RNA", at positions 1 to 339 of the family's 1533-position model. Lineage: Bacteria; Pseudomonadati; Pseudomonadota; Gammaproteobacteria; Vibrionales; Vibrionaceae. The record is from RNAcentral.
AAAUUGAAGAGUUUGAUCAUGGCUCAGAUUGAACGCUGGCGGCAGGCCUAACACAUGCAAGUCGAGCGGAAACGAGUUAUCUGAACCUUCGGGGAACGAUAACGGCGUCGAGCGGCGGACGGGUGAGUAAUGCCUAGGAAAUUGCCCUGAUGUGGGGGAUAACCAUUGGAAACGAUGGCUAAUACCGCAUGAUGCCUACGGGCCAAAGAGGGGGACCUUCGGGCCUCUCGCGUCAGGAUAUGCCUAGGUGGGAUUAGCUAGUUGGUGAGGUAAGGGCUCACCAAGGCGACGAUCCCUAGCUGGUCUGAGAGGAUGAUCAGCCACACUGGAACUGAGACACGGUCCAGACUCC